ACCCGAUGCAAACUACGAAUACCGAAGAAUGUUAUCACGGGAGACACACGGCGGGUGCUAACGUCCGUCGUGAAGAGGGAAACAACCCAGACCGCCAGCUAAGGUCCCAAAGUCAUGGUUAAGUGGGAAACGAUGUGGGAAGGCCCAGACAGCCAGGAUGUUGGCUUAGAAGCAGCCAUCAUUUAAAGAAAGCGUAAUAGCUCACUGGUCGAGUCGGCCUGCGCGGAAGAUGUAACGGGGCUAAACCAUGCACCGAAGCUGCGGCAGCGACACUAUGUGUUGUUGGGUAGGGGAGCGUUCUGUAAGCCGUUGAAGGUGGCCUGUGAGGGUUGCUGGAGGUAUCAGAAGUGCGAAUGCUGACAUAAGUAACGAUAAUGCGGGUGAAAAACCCGCACGCCGGAAGACCAAGGGUUCCUGUCCAACGUUAAUCGGGGCAGGGUGAGUCGACCCCUAAGGCGAGGCCGAAAGGCGUAGUCGAUGGGAAACAGGUUAAUAUUCCUGUACUCGGUGUUACUGCGAAGGGGGGACGGAGAAGGCUAUGUUGGCCGGGCGACGGUUGUCCCGGUUUAAGCAUGUAGGCGGAUGUUCCAGGUAAAUCCGGAACGUCACUAACGCUGAGGUGUGAUGACGAGGCACUACGGUGCUGAAGUGACAAAUGCCCUGCUUCCAGGAAAAGCCUCUAAGCAUCAGGUAACAUCAAAUCGUACCCCAAACCGACACAGGUGGUCAGGUAGAGAAUACCAAGGCGCUUGAGAGAACUCGGGUGAAGGAACUAGGCAAAAUGGUGCCGUAACUUCGGGAGAAG
This 805-nucleotide ribosomal RNA is filed under the name Klebsiella michiganensis. RNAcentral's name for it is "partial 23S ribosomal RNA". It matches the Rfam family "Bacterial large subunit ribosomal RNA", at positions 942 to 1745 of the family's 2925-position model. Lineage: Bacteria; Pseudomonadati; Pseudomonadota; Gammaproteobacteria; Enterobacterales; Enterobacteriaceae. The record is from RNAcentral.